UACGUAGGGCGCAAGCGUUGUCCGGAAUUAUUGGGCGUAAAGAGCUCGUAGGCGGCCUGUUGCGUCCGCUGUGAAAUCCCGGGGCUUAACCCCGAGCCUGCAGUGGAUACGGGCAGGCUAGAGUUCGGUAGGGGAGACUGGAAUUCCUGGUGUAGCGGUGAAAUGCGCAGAUAUCAGGAGGAACACCGGUGGCGAAGGCGGGUCUCUGGGCCGAUACUGACGCUGAGGAGCGAAAGCGUGGGGAGCGAACAGG
Molecule: ribosomal RNA, 253 nt
Filed under: uncultured bacterium
Lineage: Bacteria
Description: partial 16S ribosomal RNA
Rfam family: Bacterial small subunit ribosomal RNA
Source: RNAcentral